Molecule: non-coding RNA, 110 nt
Filed under: Chlorobium phaeovibrioides
Lineage: Bacteria; Pseudomonadati; Chlorobiota; Chlorobiia; Chlorobiales; Chlorobiaceae
Also listed under: 1 other name
Description: SAM-I sequence
Rfam family: SAM riboswitch aptamer (S box leader)
About the family: The SAM riboswitch is found upstream of a number of genes which code for proteins involved in methionine or cysteine biosynthesis in Gram-positive bacteria. The SAM riboswitch acts at the level of transcription termination control. The predicted structure consists of a complex stem-loop region followed by a single stem loop terminator region.
Source: RNAcentral
CUAUCAUCGAGAAAGGUGGAGGGACUGGCCCUGAGAAGCCUUGGCAACCGUCAUUCCUGUAAUGAUUGGUGCCAAUUCCAUCCUGGCAGGGACGCCGGGAAAGAUGACGG